GUAGAGCUGCUGGAGCUCUCAGGCAAGCUCAUUGAUAAAGCUGACUAAUCAAAUUACGUGCUUUAUGACUUCAGUGGGUUGCCUGCAGGUUGGAGAAGGACUCGUAAGGAAGCAUUAGAUCGAUCACAGCAGAUCAGGGAGACGUGCUGGCAGGUGUCAGGAAGAGCUCUGCUAUGCCUUAUUCACUUAACUCAGGGCCGUGAGAUUUUUUCCCUUCUCUGGCUGGCAGGGUUCAGGGUGGGAGUUAAGACCCUCUAGAGACUGGGCUGAGUUUGCCUGCUGAGACUGCUGGAGACUGCCUAAUCAACAUUCUGCUAACUCUGGGAGCUCACAUACUGAUGGAAUUGAACUUGAAUAUCUGUUAAUAGCUUGGUGUGAUAAAAGACCACACACUGCUCCUUUCCUUCCGUUCUGUUCUCCUUCCCAUCUCUGCAUACUCCUCACUUUUUGCCUGUUCCUCUCAAUAACAAACUUGUUCAGUGAUACGCUUUUUAAGAAAAAUAUUAGCAACGCUGUCUUGCUGAACUCACAGCUAGAAGAAGCCAGUCCCUCUCAGACUGGUGCUUUUCAGAGAAGCUCACUAAGAAUUAAUUUUUCAAGAUAGCUUAAAUCAUUUGCUGUCCUCGUAUGACAAAUGCUGCAACACUCCACUGCUAAAUUGCCCUUUUCUACUUUAUUGGCUACUGCAUCCAUCAUUUCCAAUAAAAAUAAAGCUAGCAGUUGUCCUUGGUAAGAGCACGUUGUGACACCAAUGGUGCUGAGAAAAGGAAGUGGUGCCUAUUCAGGUCAGUCAGGAGGAGUGGCUUGUUGCAGGGUAGAAGAACUUAAAUCUUCAGAAACCUGCUUGAGAAACUAAGACUCAUCAGUUUUUAAGAAAGCUCAUCCUUUAUUGUGGGGUGCUGCUGUAUGCUGCAGACUUCUGAGCAUGUUAGUGCUGAUAUCUAGAUCCAAAAUAUCCUUCCACACGUUACUAAAAUGGCUCCAGAUGCAAAUCAAAACUGGAUGUCUGAAAACCCAGCAGUAAGAGGUCUUCUGCCACCAUUCAUCAAGGCAUGGAGAGAGAAGUGUUGAUUACUGAGGUGGUGGAUCUAGGAGUGGGACGGUGUCCUCUUCUGCUCCAGGAUGCAUCCUGUGUAAAGAGACACUAAAAGCUAGUCCGGGAACGCUUUGAUCCUCUCCUGCCGUCUCUUGGCACAUGCAGUCCACUUUGUUCUCUCACUAAAAGCCUAAGUGGCUUUUCAUAUCUGCAGUGUCUGAUGCUCUUGAACUGACAAGGAAGGUGGCUGGUUCCUGGGGAAGUCAACUUGGGAAAGUUCUUUCAUGCCGCUCUCAGGCCUUGACGAGUUUCAUCCUACCUCCCAAAGAAAUCCUCCUCCUGGACCUGCACCUGCAGCACAGAGAUCUUCAAAGAGGGAGGGGGAAGAAGUGGCGAGAGCAAAAUAAAACAGGACCAUCGAGCAACAUCAGUCUUGUGACACCCUUCCUCACAGCGGUCGCUUCUCUGUGAUGUUGCAUCAUUUCUAAAAAUAGAACUUAAGGUCCUUUGGGAAACAGCACUUGUCUUUUGUUCUGUAAAAUACCCCGUGUGUUUUGAGUCUUGCUUAAAAAAGCCGUGUGUGAAGUAGAAGAAUAGAGUGGGGUUUAAGACACUUUAUUUCCUUGUUCUCACAUAUAGUCCUGCUUCUUAGUGGUGAUA
Molecule: long non-coding RNA, 1696 nt
Organism: Gymnogyps californianus (California condor)
Lineage: Eukaryota; Metazoa; Chordata; Aves; Accipitriformes; Cathartidae
Exons: 4
Source: RefSeq, a predicted model, not a curated record